GACGAACGCUGGCGGCGUGCUUAACACAUGCAAGUCGAACGGAAAGGCCCUGCUUUUGUGGGGUGCUCGAGUGGCGAACGGGUGAGUAACACGUGAGUAACCUGCCCUUGACCUUGGGAUAACUUCAGGAAACUGGGGCUAAUACCGGAUAGGAGCUCCUGCUGCAUGGUGGGGGUUGGAAAGUUUCGGCGGUUGGGGAUGGACUCGCGGCUUAUCAGCUUGUUGGUGGGGUAGUGGCUUACCAAGGCUUUGACGGGUAGCCGGCCUGAGAGGGUGACCGGCCACAUUGGGACUGAGAUACGGCCCAGACUCCUACGGGAGGCAGCAGUGGAGAAUAUUGCACAAUGGGCGGAAGCCUGAUGCAGCAACGCCGCGUGCGGGAUGACGGCCUUCGGGUUGUAAACCGCUUUCGCCUGUGACGAAGCGUGAGUGACGGUAAUGGGUAAAGAAGCACCGGCUAACUACGUG
This 468-nucleotide ribosomal RNA is filed under the name uncultured bacterium. RNAcentral's name for it is "partial 16S ribosomal RNA". It matches the Rfam family "Bacterial small subunit ribosomal RNA", at positions 28 to 507 of the family's 1533-position model. The record is from RNAcentral.